CCUCUCCUUUUUACCUUGGCAGCACCUCUUUUACCCCUCUUCCAUUAUUAAUGUUCACGCAAAUGCCCCCAAAUGUUUCCACAACACCUCUAGUGUGCUAGUGCACCACUUCCAACAAAGAUAUAUCAUGCUCAUGUGGAAAAUAUGAGCAACCCUUCUAAUACUUGAUUUUUGGCAGAAAUGUUGCCUUGAACUACAAGUGCUAGCUACAGUCCUCUCCCUAAGCUGAAACUUCGUAGUCUUGAAGUUAUUGUAUAGCCAAGGCUACUAGACAUGGUGUCAUCCCAAGUCCCCCAGUAGAAACCCUUUUUGCUAGCCCCAAGUUUGUUGCUGUAAACUUAACCACAGAUGAAACCCAUCCUACAUAGACCCAUAUGGGUCCAAACUCCUCCAUCACCUUUUACCAUAUGGGCCUCACACUC
RNAcentral lists this long non-coding RNA (422 nucleotides) under Hordeum vulgare. RNAcentral's name for it is "long non-coding RNA (HVUL_LNC007353)". Lineage: Eukaryota; Viridiplantae; Streptophyta; Magnoliopsida; Poales; Poaceae. The record is from RNAcentral.